UACGUAGGGUACAAGCGUUGUCCGGAAUUAUUGGGCGUAAAGAGCUCGUAGGUGGUCUGUCACGUCUGCUGUGGAAACGCAAGGCUCAACCUUGCGCGUGCAGUGGGUACGGGCGGACUAGAGUGCAGUAGGGGAGUCUGGAAUUCCUGGUGUAGCGGUGAAAUGCGCAGAUAUCAGGAGGAACACCGGUGGCGAAGGCGGGACUCUGGGCUGUAACUGACGCUGAGGAGCGAAAGCAUGGGGAGCGAACAGG
Molecule: ribosomal RNA, 253 nt
Filed under: uncultured bacterium
Lineage: Bacteria
Also listed under: 1 other name
Description: partial 16S ribosomal RNA
Rfam family: Bacterial small subunit ribosomal RNA
Source: RNAcentral